RNAcentral lists this ribosomal RNA (253 nucleotides) under uncultured bacterium. Its description in RNAcentral is "partial 16S ribosomal RNA". It matches the Rfam family "Bacterial small subunit ribosomal RNA", at positions 524 to 776 of the family's 1533-position model. The record is from RNAcentral.
UACGUAGGGGCAAGCGUUGUCCGGAUUUAUUGGGCGUAAAGAGCGUGUAGGCGGCCAAGCAGGUCAGCUGUGAAAACUCGAGGCUCAACCUCGAGACGUCGGUUGAAACCGCUUGGCUAGAGUCCGGAAGAGGAGAGUGGAAAUUCCCGGUGUAGCGGUGAAAUGCGCAGAUAUCGGGAAGAACACCCGUGGCGAAGGCGGCUCUCUGGGACGGUACUGACGCUGAGGCGCGAAAGCGUGGGGAGCAAACAGG